RNAcentral lists this ribosomal RNA (465 nucleotides) under uncultured bacterium. RNAcentral describes it as "bacterial SSU rRNA". It matches the Rfam family "Bacterial small subunit ribosomal RNA", at positions 8 to 518 of the family's 1533-position model. The record is from RNAcentral.
AGAGUUUGAUCAUGGCUCAGAACGAACGCUGGCGGCAGGCCUAACACAUGCAAGUCGAGCGCGCCCUUCGGGGUGAGCGGCGGACGGGUUAGUAACGCGUGGGAACGUACCCUUUGGUAGGGAAUAGCCACUGGAAACGGUGAGUAAUACCCUAUGAGCCCUUCGGGGGAAAGAUUUAUCGCCAAAGGACCGGCCCGCGUUAGAUUAGGUAGUUGGUGGGGUAAUGGCCUACCAAGCCUACGAUCUAUAGCUGGUUUUAGAGGAUGAUCAGCAACACUGGGACUGAGACACGGCCCAGACUCCUACGGGAGGCAGCAGUGGGGAAUCUUGGACAAUGGGGGCAACCCUGAAUCCAGCCAUGCCGCGUGAGUGAAGAAGGCCUUAGGGUCGUAAAGCUCUUUCGCCUGUGAAGAUAAUGACGGUAGCAGGUAAAGAAACCCCGGCUAACUCCGUGCCAGCCGCAGC